This 391-nucleotide unclassified non-coding RNA is filed under the name soil metagenome. RNAcentral's name for it is "partial contains 5.8S ribosomal RNA, internal transcribed spacer 2, and large subunit ribosomal RNA". The stretch from base 1 to 122 matches the Rfam family "5.8S ribosomal RNA", at positions 35 to 154 of the family's 154-position model. The record is from RNAcentral.
GAUGAAGAACGUAGUGAAAUGCGAUACUUGGUGUGAAUUGCAGAAUCCCGUGAACCAUCGAGUCUUUGAACGCAAGUUGCGCCCGAAGCCAUUAGGCCGAGGGCACGCCUGCCUGGGCGUCACACGUCGUUGCCCCCCCAUCUACUCCUUCGGGAUUGCGGGGGGCGGAUGAUGGCCUCCCGUGCGCCUCGUCGCGCGGUUGGCAUAAAUACCAAGUCCUCGGCGACGCACGCCACGACAAUCAGUGGUUGCGAAACCUCGGUUGCCCGUCGUGUGCGGUCGUCGCGCAUCGAGGGCUCGAAAAAAUUGCCGGGCUCCGGCUCGGCUUUCAACGCGACCCCAGGUCAGGCGGGGUUACCCGCUGAAUUUAAGCAUAUCAAUAAGCGGAGGA